RNAcentral lists this ribosomal RNA (406 nucleotides) under uncultured bacterium. RNAcentral's name for it is "partial 16S ribosomal RNA". It matches the Rfam family "Bacterial small subunit ribosomal RNA", at positions 30 to 526 of the family's 1533-position model. The record is from RNAcentral.
AUUGAACGCUGGCGGCAGGCCUAACACAUGCAAGUCGAACGAGUGGCGGACGGGUGAGUAAUGUCUGGGAAACUGCCUGAUGGAGGGGGAUAACUAAUGGAAACGGUAGCUAAUACUGCAUAACAUGCGUUGUGCCCAGAUGGUAUUAGCUAGUGGGUGGGGUAACGGCUCACCAAGGCGACGAUCCCUAGCUGGUCUGAGAGGAUGACCAGCCAAACUGGAACUGAGACACGGUCCAGACUCCUACGGGAGGCAGGAGUGGGGAAUAUUGGACAAUGGGCGCAAGCCUGAUGCAGCCAUGCCGCGUGUAUGAAGAAGGCCUUCGGUUUGUAAAGUACUUUCAGCGGGGAGGCGGUACCCGCAGAAGAAGCACCGGCUAACUCCGUGCCAGCAGCCGCGGUAAUUC